GGGGGGAGCAAGCGUUGUUCGGAUUUACUGGGCGUAAAGGGCGCGUAGGCGGCCACCGCAAGUCGACUGUGAAAUCUCCGGGCUUAACCCGGAAAGGUCAGCCGAUACUGCGGGGCUAGAGUGCAGAAGGGGCAACUGGAAUUCUCGGUGUAGCGGUGAAAUGCGUAGAUAUCGAGGGGAACACCUGCGGCGAAGGCGGGUUGCUGGGCUGACACUGACGCUGAGGCGCGAAAGCUAGGGGAGCGAACGGGAUUAGAUACCCCGGUAGUCCUAGCCUUAAACGAUGAAUGCUUGGUGUCUGGGGUUUUAUAGUCCCCGGGUGCCGUCGCUAACGCUUUAAGCAUUCCGCCUGGGGAGUACGGUCGCAAGACUG
This 373-nucleotide ribosomal RNA is filed under the name uncultured bacterium. Its description in RNAcentral is "bacterial SSU rRNA". It matches the Rfam family "Bacterial small subunit ribosomal RNA", at positions 527 to 896 of the family's 1533-position model. The record is from RNAcentral.